Nycticebus coucang (slow loris) is the source of this 107-nucleotide small nuclear RNA. The record is from RefSeq and is a predicted model, not a curated record. NCBI's taxonomy places the organism in Eukaryota, Metazoa, Chordata, Mammalia, Primates, Lorisidae.
GUGCUCACUUUGGCAGGACAUAUACUAAAAUUGGAACGAUACGGCAAAGAUUAGCACGGCCCCCUCACAAGGAUGACACGCACUUUCAUGAAGCAUUCCAUAUUAAG